RNAcentral lists this transfer RNA (90 nucleotides) under Gloeochaete wittrockiana. RNAcentral's name for it is "tRNA-Ser". It matches the Rfam family "tRNA". Rfam says of the family: Transfer RNA (tRNA) molecules are approximately 80 nucleotides in length. Their secondary structure includes four short double-helical elements and three loops (D, anti-codon, and T loops). The record is from RNAcentral. Lineage: Eukaryota; Glaucocystophyceae; Gloeochaetales; Gloeochaetaceae.
GGAGAGAUGGCAGAGUUGGUCGAUUGCGUCUGAUUUGAAAUCAGAUAAAUUUUUAGGAAUUUCGAGGGUUCGAAUCCCUCUCUCUCCUUA